UCUUCGGCAUGGGCGAAAGCCUGACCGAGCAACGCCGCGUGAGCGAUGAAGGCCUUCGGGUCGUAAAGCUCUGUUGUUAGAGAAGAACAAGUACGAGAGUAACUGCUCGUACCUUGACGGUACCUAACCAGAAAGCCACGGCUAACUACGUGCCAGCAGCCGCGGUAAUACGUAGGUGGCAAGCGUUAUCCGGAAUUAUUGGGCGUAAAGCGCGCGCAGGCGGUCUCUUAAGUCUGAUGUGAAAGCCCACGGCUCAACCGUGGAGGGUCAUUGGAAACUGGGAGACUUGAGUGCAGGAGAGAAAAGUGGAAUUCCACGUGUAGCGGUGAAAUGCGUAGAGAUGUGGAGGAACACCAGUGGCGAAGGCGGCUUUUUGGCCUGUAACUGACGCUGAGGCGCGAAAGCGUGGGGAGCAAACAGGAUUAGAUACCCUGGUAGUCCACGCCGUAAACGAUGAGUGCUAGGUGUUGGGGGGUUCCACCCUCAGUGCUGAAGUUAACACAUUAAGCACUCCGCCUGGGGAGUACGACCGCAAGGUUGAAACUCAAAGGAAUUGACGGGGGCCCGCACAAGCAGUGGAGCAUGUGGUUUAAUUCGAAGCAACGCGAAGAACCUUACCAGGUCUUGACAUCCUUUGANCACUCUAGAGAUAGAGCUUUCCCCUUCGGGGGACAAAGUGACAGGUGGUGCAUGGUUGUCGUCAGCUCGUGUCGUGAGAUGUUGGGUUAAGUCCCGCAACGAGCGCAAA
Molecule: ribosomal RNA, 748 nt
Filed under: Bacillus sp. YAAN8
Lineage: Bacteria; Bacillati; Bacillota; Bacilli; Caryophanales; Bacillaceae
Description: bacterial SSU rRNA
Rfam family: Bacterial small subunit ribosomal RNA
Source: RNAcentral